CUCUGUGAUUUCACUGAUAAUGGUUUACUGAGCCAAAGCAUGUAUUUAACACUUUUAAAACUGCAUGCAAACUUCCUCUAGGGGCAAACUUCUACUUAUGUCACAAUGAUAUCCAUUUGCCCUUGUCAUCUUUUAUUAUUUCCUCUCUCUUUCUUUCUCUCGAUCUCUCUCUCUCUCUCUCUCUCUCUCUCUCUCUCUCUCCCUCUCCAUCAGGUGGCACUGUGGUUUAAGUUUAAAAAAAAUGUUUUAUCUACUCUUCACUGUUCAUUCAAUCCAUAAAACAGAACACCAGGCACUCUGCAUCAAUGUCAUCCCAGACCACAGUUAGGCACCAUACACACCUGAGCUUCAGUCUGUCACAACACAACAGGACUGUGUUCCCAGCAGCCAUCCAUUCCAGAACUUCCUUAGGUAAAUAUUGUAUGUUACUGGAUUUUACUUCCUGUCUGCGAUUGUGAUCAAAUGGAGUGCUGGAGCGACCAGAUGAUAGGCUUCAACUUUCUUCGUUUUAGUUUUUAAUAUAAUGCCAGCACAGCUACAUGGAAAGUAAAGGAGAGGCUGGAAGAGAAGAGAAAGGGAGGAGGGUAGUAGAGGAGAGAGUAGUAAGUGGAGGGAGGUCUGUACUCCUGUAGGAAACCUGUUCAACUUAAUGUUUAAUAAGCUACUGGUCACAGAGCCAGGGUAACUCGAUCCUCUCAGGAGACAAAUGGUGUGUGUUUCUCUGUGUGCGUUUCUUACGUGUGUAUGAAUGCAUAUAUAUGAUUCUAUGGCCUGUGUAAAUCAGAUACACCGUUGAUUAGCUGAUCCUAAACAGAUCUGUUGUUCAAGUCAUUGAUAGCUUUCAUCAUGAAUCCCUCCACCACACAGUCUCUGAGGAGGGGAAAGUAAUAAUAAAUGUUACCUCAUCAGCGGUAGUUUGACACAUCUUUUCACAUGAUUCAUUACUCUUCACAGCCUGCUGCUCCUCCUGUCUCUCAGAGGUGAUAUGAUUAAUCAUUUAGCAGUAAAAUGCAAAUAUCAGACCUGGGACAAAUACAGUGGGUAUCAUAAAUAUUCACACCCCUUGGAUUUCUUCACAUUGUAUUGUGUUACAAAGUAGAUUCAAACAGAUUUAAGUCAUAAUUUAAACUAGGCCACUCAGGAACAUUCACUGUCUUCAUGGUAAGCAACUCCAAUGUAGAUUUGGCCUUGUGUUGUAGGUUAUUGUCCUGCUGGAAGGUGAAUUACUCUCCAAGUGUCUGGUGUAAAGCAGACUGAAACAGUCUAUCCCGUUUAUUUUUAUCCUGAAAAACUCCCCAGUCUUUGCCGAUAUCAAGCAUACCCAUACCAUGAUGCAGCCACCUCCAUGCUGGACAAUAAGAAGGCAGUUUACUCAGUGAUGUGUUGUUGGAUUUGCCCCAAACAUAAGGCUUUGCAUUUAGGCCAAAAAGUGUGUUUCUUUGCCGUGUUUAGUUGCAGUAUUACUUUAGUGCCUUGUUGCAUGUUUUGGUAUUUUUUAUCUCUGUCAUUUAGGUAAUUAUUGUGGAGUCACAACAAUGUUGUUGAUUAAUCCUCAGUUUUUUUCCCAUCACAGCCAUUUAACUCCGUAGCUGUUUUAAAAUCGUCAAUGGCCUCAUAGUGAUGUCUGUAUCUUUGUGUCUGGGUGGUUUAAUACAUCAUCCAUAGCGCAAUUAUUAACUUGACCAUGCUUUAAGUGAUACUCAAUGUCUGAUUUUGUUAUUCUUACUCAUUUAACAAUCACUGCCCUUCUUUAUGAGGCUUUUGAAAGGUUCCUGAUCUCUUUAGUUGAAUCUGUUCUUUAAAUGCAAUACUUGACUGAGGGACCUUACAGGUGUUGUAUGUAUGGGGGACAGAGGAAGGGGUAGUCAUUUAGAAAUCAUGUCAACCUCUAUUUCAAUCCAUGUAACCUAUUUUUUGACAUUUUACUCCUGAACUAAUUUAAGCUUGGCUUAACAAAGCGGGUGAGUACUUCUGCAAUGACUAUAUUUUAUUUCGUUUUUAUUAACUUGUAGAAUUUUCAUUUCACUUAAUCUCUCAAAAUAUGUCAUUGACCUCAACAAUUAGCGCCCCAGGACCAGUGAAAGCAAAAUAACCAUAUUUUACAGAAGGUAUGUUGUACUUUUUUGCAUUUGCAUCUUUCUUUUGAUGUGAAACCCACCGCUGGUGUGCAUGGCAAAAGACCGGGCCAGCCCUAGUCUUUUGGGGGCCUGUCUACUUUCCUAGCUAGCCAGACAGUUUUCUUUUGCUAACGUUAGCUAGCUAGCUACUGUAAAUGUUAUUGUAGCUUCAUCCCUCAAUGAGAUUUUCUUUUAUAUUUCCAACCAGGUGAAGUACUAUGAAGGCACCACUGAUCUCGACAAGAGGCGCAACAUUCAGAACAUUUCACAAUUCAGGUCAAUCAUAUCUACCUUACGGAGGAAGGAUGGCCAGCCACACAGCAGGGUGAUGUUUACUAAGGAGGAGAAGGAAGCUGUGCUGACCGAGAUGCAUGCUGGCCAUUUCGGAGUGAAGCACAUGAUUGCCAAAAUCAACCUACGAUUCUUCUGACGAGGAAUUGUCAAGGAGGUCAGUACCCUGUCAAGCCUGCCAGAAGUUUCAUAGUGCGAAGACUGUGGCGCCAGAGUUGAAGCACAUCAGUUGUUUCACCAAUGCACAUGAUCGGGGUGGACCUCAUCGGACCCUUCACGAAAUCCAGGAAUGGCAGCAGCUGGUGUCUGACGGCGACCAAUCACUUUACCAAGAGGGUGGAGGCAAUACCCAUUAAGGACGAGACUGGCAAGGCCAUGGUUCUCCUGAGGUCAUCUUGAGUGACCGAGGUCAUGAACGCUGGAACAAGGUUUGGUGAAUGGACAAACUAGACCCUCAAGACUGGCAUGGGAAAGUCCCUUGAUUGGUACCAGGAAUGGUGGGAGAACAACCUGAAGGUAAUUCUCUUUGCACACAACAGCAUCCAGGCCUCCACCGAGUACGGACAGGAGCAGCAGCUGUUGGCUGAGGUAAACAAUGCAAUUGUAUAUACAAUUAUUGCAUAUACUGUAGUUUUUCAAUUUGGUAUUUACUUUGUGUUGUUUGUCUAUUGACAUUUUUGUAUAACAUACUUUCAGAUCUUCCUGAGUGGUGCAGUGGUCUAAGAACUGCAUCACAGUGGUAGCUGUGCCACUAGAGAUUCUGGGUUAGAGUCCGCAACCGGUAGACCCAUGGGGCGGCGCACAAUUGGCCUAGCGUCGCCCAGGUUAGGGGAGGGUUUGGCCGGCAGUGAGGUCCUUGUCCCAUUGCGCACUAGUGACUCCUGUGGCUGGCCGGUCUCAGUGCAUGCUGACACGGUCGCCAGGUGCACAGUGUUUCCCCCGACACAUUGGUGUGGUUGGCUUGUGGGUUAAGUGGGCAUUGGGUCAAGAAGAAGUGCGGCUUGGCUGGGUUGUGUCUUGGCCUUCGCCUCUCCCGACUCUGUAUGGGAGUUGCAGCAAUGAGACAACACUGUAACUACCCAUUGGAUACCACGAAAUUGGGGAGGAAAAAAAGGGGUAACAUUUUAAGUUGUCGAACCAGAUCAGAACACCUUCGUGGACCACCUUCAGGCACCGACUGAGAAGGAUGUGGAGGUGAGACUGAACAUUGUCAAGGCGAAAGAAAAACAGAAGGAGAGCUACCGGAGCCGAGUCAAGAAGGGGACCAAGCGCUACUACAUCCGGGCAAAUUACUUGGUUUGGAAGAAGGACGAAAGGAAGCCGAGACCUGGGAAACCUCGCUGGUCUUUCACUCCUAGCUGGGGUCACCAUCUGGCCUGAGCAGCAGGUAGUUUACUCUGGGCACGCUUUUCAUCCGAACAUGAAAAUGCUGCCCCCUAUCCCAAACAGGUUUUAAGGGUUACCUCGGUGGAAGCCAACAAUCUUCUACAGUUGGACAGUCAACCACUGAAAGCCCUGAUGUCCUGCACUUCAGUGAAGCCCAAUAGACAAAGACCAUCGACUGUCCGAGCCCCCCAGGAGGUAUCCCAUCCACCAGAACCUGUGAGUUCAGAUCAAUCUGAUUGUCACUGCUCUUUUUGGAGGGGGACCAGCUUGAGAUAGGCUAUACCUUCUAAAAGUGUUGAAAGGACCUAGAGGUUCUGCCUAACACCCAGACAUGGAUCCACCUGAUGUCCUCCUUUACCAACCACCCUCCGACGUUUCAUUACAUCAUCUACUGUUAUUGUAAAGUUGUCAUUAUCUGCUAAGAAAGUUUUCUUCUCCUAUCAUACAGGGCAAUAUUUGAGAUACACAGAUUAACUAAAAACACUAGCACUGCAAACACAGCAGUGCCUCUUCAAGUCCCCCUUUCCGAGACUGGCUGCCUGUUGAGAACAAGUGACAGGCAGAACCUCUCACCCAGACAGUAACCACCACCUUUAUAUUCCACACCCCAGAAUUCAGUAUUUCAGUCUAUGAUUGCCAUGUGAGUGUACAAAAACAUCUGUGAAAAUAAAUUAUUGACACAACUGUCCCAAAAAAUAUCAGUUUAUGGUAUUAAAAUCUUAAAUAUUGCCAA
Oncorhynchus nerka (sockeye salmon) is the source of this 4527-nucleotide long non-coding RNA. RefSeq lists it as uncharacterized. The record is from RefSeq and is a predicted model, not a curated record. The transcript is spliced from 11 exons. NCBI's taxonomy places the organism in Eukaryota, Metazoa, Chordata, Actinopteri, Salmoniformes, Salmonidae.